CAGGAUAGGUGGGAGGCGUUGAAAGUUUUCUUGCGGGAAGAUUUGAGCCAUUGGUGAGAUACCACUCUAACAAUGCUAGGAUUCUAACCCUAUGUCGUUAUCCGGCUAGGGGACAGUUUCAGGUGGUCAGUUUGACUGGGGCGGCCGCCUCCUAAAAGGUAACGGAGGCGUGCAAAGGUUCCCUCAGGCUGGUUGGAAAUCAGUCGUAGAGUGUAAAGGCAUAGGGGAGCUUGAUUGUGAGACCUACAAGUCGAACAAAGACGAAAGUCGGCCUUAGUGAUCCGGCGGUACCGAGUGGAAGGGCCGUCGCUCAACGGAUAAAAGUUACUCUAGGGAUAACA
This 341-nucleotide ribosomal RNA is filed under the name uncultured eukaryote. RNAcentral's name for it is "LSU rRNA". It matches the Rfam family "Bacterial large subunit ribosomal RNA", at positions 2139 to 2479 of the family's 2925-position model. The record is from RNAcentral.